RNAcentral lists this ribosomal RNA (690 nucleotides) under Cladosporium uredinicola. Its description in RNAcentral is "eukaryotic LSU rRNA". It matches the Rfam family "Eukaryotic large subunit ribosomal RNA", at positions 76 to 792 of the family's 3401-position model. The record is from RNAcentral. Lineage: Eukaryota; Fungi; Ascomycota; Dothideomycetes; Cladosporiales; Cladosporiaceae.
UGCUCUAGUAACGGCGAGUGAAGCAGCAAUAGCUCAAAUUUGAAAUCUGGCGUCUUCGACGUCCGAGUUGUAAUUUGUAGAGGAUGCUUCUGAGUAACCACCGACCUAAGUUCCUUGGAACAGGACGUCAUAGAGGGUGAGAAUCCCGUAUGCGGUCGGAAAGGUGCUCUACACGUAGCUCCUUCGACGAGUCGAGUUGUUUGGGAAUGCAGCUCUAAAUGGGAGGUAAAUUUCUUCUAAAGCUAAAUAUUGGCCAGAGACCGAUAGCGCACAAGUAGAGUGAUCGAAAGAUGAAAAGCACUUUGGAAAGAGAGUUAAAAAGCACGUGAAAUUGUUAAAAGGGAAGGGAUUGCAACCAGACUUGCUCGCGGUGUUCCGCCGGUCUUCUGACCGGUCUACUCGCCGCGUUGCAGGCCAGCAUCGUCUGGUGCCGCUGGAUAAGACUUGAGGAAUGUAGCUCCCUCGGGAGUGUUAUAGCCUCUUGUGAUGCAGCGAGCGCCGGGCGAGGUCCGCGCUUCGGCUAGGAUGCUGGCGUAAUGGUCGUAAUCCGCCCGUCUUGAAACACGGACCAAGGAGUCUAACAUCUAUGCGAGUGUUCGGGUGUCAAACCCCUACGCGUAAUGAAAGUGAACGGAGGUGAGAACCGCAAGGUGCAUCAUCGACCGAUCCUGAUGUCUUCGGAUGGAUUUG